This is a non-coding RNA of Bacillus sp. SA1-12, 146 nucleotides long. Lineage: Bacteria; Bacillati; Bacillota; Bacilli; Caryophanales; Bacillaceae. The record is from Rfam.
UGGGUAGUAUCUAUUCGAACUACACCUUAACAGUGAAACUAAGAUUUAUGAACUUUUCUGCUUUUGUCAAUAGUAAAUGCAGAAUCAAUUGAUAUGAAUGAUACCUUAAUAUUCUGCCUUGAUCCAAAAAGGACUAGGACAGAGGG